UACGGAGGGUGCAAGCGUUGUUCGGAAUUAUUGGGCGUAAAGCGCGUGUAGGUGGUCGUGUAAGUCAGAUGUGAAAGCCUUCUGCUUAACAGAAGAAGUGCAUUUGAAACUGCUCGGCUAGAGUACGGGAGAGGAGAGUGGAAUUCCCGGUGUAGAGGUGAAAUUCGUAGAUAUCGGGAGGAACACCAGUGGCGAAGGCGGCUCUCUGGUCCGAUACUGACGCUGAGACGCGAAAGCGUGGGGAGGAAUCAGG
RNAcentral lists this ribosomal RNA (253 nucleotides) under uncultured bacterium. RNAcentral's name for it is "partial 16S ribosomal RNA". It matches the Rfam family "Bacterial small subunit ribosomal RNA", at positions 524 to 776 of the family's 1533-position model. The record is from RNAcentral.